RNAcentral lists this ribosomal RNA (253 nucleotides) under uncultured bacterium. Its description in RNAcentral is "partial 16S ribosomal RNA". It matches the Rfam family "Bacterial small subunit ribosomal RNA", at positions 524 to 776 of the family's 1533-position model. The record is from RNAcentral.
UACGUAGGGUGCGAGCGUUAAUCGGAAUUACUGGGCGUAAAGUGUGCGCAGGCGGCCGAGCAAGUCGAGUGUGAAAGCCCCGAGCUUAACUUGGGAACUGCGCUCGAAACUACUUGGCUAGAGUGUGGCAGAGGGAGGUGGAAUUCCACGUGUAGCGGUGAAAUGCGUAGAGAUGUGGAGGAACACCGAUGGCGAAGGCGGCAUCCUGGACCGAUACUGACGCUGAGGAGCGAAAGCCAGGGGAGCAAACGGG